This 76-nucleotide transfer RNA is filed under the name Opitutaceae bacterium. RNAcentral's name for it is "tRNA-Lys". It matches the Rfam family "tRNA". From Rfam's summary of the family: Transfer RNA (tRNA) molecules are approximately 80 nucleotides in length. Their secondary structure includes four short double-helical elements and three loops (D, anti-codon, and T loops). The record is from RNAcentral. RNAcentral also lists the same sequence under 1 other name. Lineage: Bacteria; Pseudomonadati; Verrucomicrobiota; Opitutia; Opitutales; Opitutaceae.
GGAUCGGUAGCUCAAUCGGUAGAGCAGGUGCCUUUUAAGCACUUGGUUCGGGGUUCAAGUCCCCGCCGGUCUACCA